Cydia strobilella is the source of this 816-nucleotide long non-coding RNA. RefSeq lists it as uncharacterized. NCBI's taxonomy places the organism in Eukaryota, Metazoa, Arthropoda, Insecta, Lepidoptera, Tortricidae. The record is from RefSeq and is a predicted model, not a curated record. The transcript is spliced from 2 exons.
UAGCUGUAAUUCAUUCAGUUCAUUUCAUUCACGCCAGCUUCGAUGAAUCGAUCUGUAUGCGCUGCGGCCGCCGCGAUUGAAAUGAGAAUAGGAUUUUAGCACAAAUCGGCUAUUUUUUUACUUCACACCAAAUUAAUUCCACGCGUAGAUACCUACUUCUAUUUUCAUUUUAGUCAUAUUUAGUAAAUAUAAUUUACGAGAAGUUUUAAAAGAUUUUUAAUUUAAUUUAGUCAACUUAGGCGAAUGUUUUGCAUAAUCGCAUUCUUGUUUAACCACCAAUGAUACAUUAAAGUUUAAUAUAUUUUAUUCAUACAUUUGUUUUAGCAUAAUGAAAUAUUAUUGCAUGUGUUACAUUCCAAGUACAUUUUAACAUUCCAACUCGUGAACAGGGUGAUAGUGUCAAUCACAAAGUAUUCUCAAAUAUAUGUAGAUAAUUUUAUUUGUGUUUUGUUUAUGGAAUUCGUAUUAUGUUAUAUAUAGUAUCGUUAUUUCCAUCGACAAAAUUUAGAAUCCCACAGUUUACGAAUCUCGAGGUAAAACGAUUGUAUGAUAUUUUGUACCUUCUCUGUCUUCCUCCUGUUAUAAAGGUGCUAUUUAUGAAGUAGUUAUUUAAAUAUCUGAUAUGAAAUCAACUCAAAAAUAAAGUAAAGUAAGCAAUAACUCCUUUUUAUAUAUUUUAGGCCGCUUUAGGGUCGGAGUCAUGUAUACUUAUAUUUAUAAUCAAUUCUUUUGUUGUUAUUAUGUAAUAUAAUUUAAAUAUAUAUUCGAAAUAUGAGAAUGUAAUGUAGAUACCAAUAAAGUAAUAUUUUGAAUAUU